Molecule: long non-coding RNA, 676 nt
Filed under: Citrus sinensis (sweet orange)
Lineage: Eukaryota; Viridiplantae; Streptophyta; Magnoliopsida; Sapindales; Rutaceae
Description: long non-coding RNA (CSIN_LNC000497)
Source: RNAcentral
CUUGCAAAAACCAGUAAAUGUCACUUCAUCUCCAUCUUCCAGGAAUUUACGAGUAAACCCAUCUAGUGAAAGCGGCUUUUGUCCAUUCCAUGUUAACUCCAGCAAGCAUCCAAGAGAUUCUGGCUCCUGUUGUGAAAUAUAAGAGUUAGCCAAAGUUCAAGGAAGCGGUAUAGGUACUUUCAAACUCUAAUGAAUGAUCCUAAUUCAUGCAGUAAAUGAAACCAUACAGGUCCACUGAUGGUGCCAGUUCCAAGCAGAUCUCCAGACCUUAGGUUGCAACCAUUGAUUGUAUGGUGUGCAAGCUGCUGAGUCAAUGUCCAAUACCUGUCAUUGGGGUUAGGAAAAAAACUAAUGCAUAUUGCACACAAAAAAAGGACCUACGCAACUUUAGAAGUUUCCUUUAGCUGACCCCAAUCAGUACAUGAUGAAUUCACUAUCAGAGGAACGAAAGAUGCAUCCAAGGAAAGUAAAUUUCUAUAAAAAGGAGAUGUCACAUUACUCUAGGAUAGAUGGAAUAUGAUAUAUCAGCUUUAGGCAAAGGAAGACCGAAUUUAUUGGGCCAACAGGCUUAUUGAUGUCAUAAAGGCAAGAGAAAUCGUGUUUAAAGUUUCUUUGAAAUGUUGCAAGCAUGUCAAAUUAAAGCUUACAAGUACUUAAAAUUGCUCCUUGUGACCAC